Molecule: ribosomal RNA, 456 nt
Filed under: uncultured bacterium
Lineage: Bacteria
Description: bacterial SSU rRNA
Rfam family: Bacterial small subunit ribosomal RNA
Source: RNAcentral
UACGGAAGGCAGCAGUGGGGAAUAUUGCACAAUGGGCGAAAGCCUGAUGCAGCUAUGCCGCGUGUAUGAAGAAGGCCUUAGGGUUGUAAAGUACUUUCAUCGGGGAGGAAAAAACAAAACUAAUAAUUUUAUUUCUUGACGUUACCCGAAAAAGAAGCACCGGCUAACUCCGUGCCAGCAGCCGCGGUAAUACGGAGGGUGCGAGCGUUAAUCGGAAUUACUGGGCGUAAAGGGCACGCAGGCGGUUAAUUAAGUUGGAUGUGAAAUCCCCGGGCUUAACCUGGGAAUGGCAUUCAAGACUGGUUAGCUAGAGUCUUGUAGAGGGGGUAGAAUUCCAUGUGUAGCGGUGAAAUGCGUAGAGAUGUGGAGGAAUACCGGUGGCGAAGGCGGCCCCUGGACAAAGACUGACGCUCAUGUGCGAAAGCGUGGGGAGCAAACAGGGAUUAGAUACCCCGU